CCUACGGGAGGUAGCAGUGAGGAAUAUUGGUCAAUGGGCGCAAGCCUGAACCAGCCAAGUCGCGUGAGGGAAGACGGCCCUACGGGUUGUAAACCUCUUUUGCCGGGGAGCAAGCCUGAGCACGUGUGCCCAGGCGGAGAGUACCCGGAGAAAAAGCAUCGGCUAACUCCGUGCCAGCAGCCGCGGUAAUACGUAGGUGGCGAGCGUUAUCCGGAAUGAUUGGGCGUAAAGGGUGCGCAGGCGGUUUGA
This 249-nucleotide ribosomal RNA is filed under the name uncultured bacterium. RNAcentral describes it as "partial 16S ribosomal RNA". It matches the Rfam family "Bacterial small subunit ribosomal RNA", at positions 338 to 583 of the family's 1533-position model. The record is from RNAcentral.